RNAcentral lists this ribosomal RNA (497 nucleotides) under uncultured bacterium. RNAcentral describes it as "partial 16S ribosomal RNA". It matches the Rfam family "Bacterial small subunit ribosomal RNA", at positions 28 to 507 of the family's 1533-position model. The record is from RNAcentral.
GACGAACGCUGGCGGCGUGCCUAAUACAUGCAAGUCGAGCGGACGGGCGAGGAUCUUGUGGCGCUGAUGUGAGCCGCGGGCGUGUGAGUAACGCGUGUAUAAUCUACCUAUAAUAGGGAUAUAACUUGGGAAAACGGGAGCUAAUACCGUAUGAGAUCUUGAACCACAGUGUUCAAUGGUGAAAGACGGUCUUGCUGGCACGUCUAGAGGCAUCUCCGCUUCUUUAGCUGGUUGUGAAGGUAACGGCUUACCAAGGCAACGAUGCAUAGCCGACGUGAGAGAGUGAUCGGCCACCUGGGAAGGGGACCGCGGUCAAGGGUCCUAAGGGAGGGAGCAGACGGCAACGUUCGGCAAUGGGGGAAAGCAUGACGGAGCAAGGCGGCGUGAGUGAUGAAGGUCUUCGGAUCGUAAAACUCUGUUAUUAGGGAAGAACAUAUGUGUAAGUAAAUGUGCACAUAGUGACGGUAACUAAUAAGAAAGCAACGGCUAACUACGUG